Molecule: ribosomal RNA, 310 nt
Filed under: uncultured eukaryote
Lineage: Eukaryota
Description: partial 18S ribosomal RNA
Rfam family: Eukaryotic small subunit ribosomal RNA
Source: RNAcentral
CCCUUAGAUGUUCUGGGCUGCACGCGUGCUACACUGAUUAUUUCAACAAGUGUUUUAACUGGAGAGUUCGCGUAAUCCUGAAAUGUUAUCGUGAUGGGAGUAGAGUAUUGUAUUUGUUAAUCUUUAACGAGGAAUUCCUAGCAAGUGUAGGUUUAUAAGUUGUUCUGAUUACGUCCCUGCCCUUUGUACACACCGCCCGUCGCUCCUACCGAUUGAUUGAUCCGGUGAAUUACAUAGAAUUUUGCGUUUUACAUGACGGAAGAUGAAGUGUUUUAAACCUUAUCAUUUAGAGGAAGGAGAAGUCGUAACA